CUCUGUCUAUGUCCGUCAAACAAACGAGGAAGUAAUGGCGUAUCGCGUCGUUUCGCUUUCCGAUAUUCCUGACAAAUUAUCAUAAAUGUGACAUUACAAUGCGAAAAAAUAGAAGUCAAAGGAAUUUGUAACUGGCUGCUUUAGAAAAUGACGAUAUCUAAAAUUUACGGGGUGAAAUCUAUCCAAGUCAGAGAAAAUCGGAUAGCCGCCAUGUUGUCAACAUUGACAUCGAUACAAAGGAAAAGCGUGUGUGUGACGCAUACUGUAAAUGCAAACAAGGAAAUUGUGGAACAUGUUCACACACUCUGGCUGUAAAAGUAGACCUGGAAGGAAAAGUGCCCCCGGUGUGGGGCUCGAACUCACAACCACCAGAACACUAGCCCGGCUUUCUAACCAACUAAGCUGACCGGGCAGCUGGUUCUAACCCACACACACUACCCUCCCCCCAUUUACCGUUUAAGGCUGGUGGAGGGUCUCCUGCUAUUUACCGUUGACACCAUUAAAGUAUUCUGAUUGAUGGAGAUAAGGAAGUCCCCUUAUUAUUGUCUUCAACAAGCCUACCGCCACAGGGGACCUAGCAUAAGACCGGAAACCGCCCCCCCCCCACACACACACAUGAUAUUUGCCAGUCCAGGCAAUGUCAACCGCAAGAGAAAACCAGUGAUGACAAGUUUUACAAAUAAUCGGAAAGUGUGGUCUUUUGAAGAGAGUUCUUGAAGUUGUUCAGCAUGUUGUUUUGAUGGAUUCUUGGAAGGAUGUACCUCUAUGAUGUUAGCUUCAGUUCUGGAGUAUAACACCAAUUGUUGCAUAUUUAAUAUCAGAUUUAUUAAAUACAUUGUUGUUUUGCAAACAUUACUUAAACUUUGAUAUUUCUUUGGUGUUUAUGUAUGAUAUUGUAGGUGAAUAUCUCUUUAUUGCAAUGGCAAAUAUAUUUUAAAAUAUAUAGCAUUAGCAGAAGUUAUUUUUCACUGUAAAAGCUGCACUUUCACAGAUUGAUCACUUUGAAAACUUACACAGGAUUCGAUUGCAUUUAUCAUAUUUUGGCUCGGAGAAGUUUGCUUUGUGAUUUAUAUAUUAGGUCUUAAUUUAAAGAAUGCCAAAAUAAGCCGAUUCUGAGACAAAAAGUGUCAAACUAGAAUUCUGUGAUAGUGCAACUUUAAGAAUACUGUUCAUCGAGUGUGCAUGUGAUCCGGACUCUGAACAUUGGAUGAACUAUCAUUAAAUAUUGUAGAUUUACGUAAAUGGCCCAAAAUAUAAGAAUAACAAUGAAAAUAUGUACAUGUUUGACUUGUUCUUUAUUCAUAAUAAGUCUAAGUGUUUACAGCACAUGUUUGGCAGAAUCAAGUUCUAAUGAACAUAAUAAUUGAUUUAAAUGUACAGUGAAAUAAAUU
Long non-coding RNA from Mya arenaria, 1391 nucleotides. RefSeq lists it as uncharacterized. The record is from RefSeq and is a predicted model, not a curated record. NCBI's taxonomy places the organism in Eukaryota, Metazoa, Mollusca, Bivalvia, Myida, Myidae. The transcript is spliced from 3 exons.